This 497-nucleotide ribosomal RNA is filed under the name uncultured bacterium. RNAcentral describes it as "partial 16S ribosomal RNA". It matches the Rfam family "Bacterial small subunit ribosomal RNA", at positions 28 to 507 of the family's 1533-position model. The record is from RNAcentral.
GAUGAACGCUGGCGGCGUGCCUAAUACAUGCAAGUCGAGCGAACGGACGAGAAGCUUGCUUCUCUGAUGUUAGCGGCGAACGGGUGAGUAACACGUGGAUAACCUACCUAUAAGACUGGGAUAACUUCGGGAAACCGGAGCUAAUACCGGAUAAUAUUUUGAACCGCAUGGUUCAAAAGUGAAAGACGGUCUUGCUGUCACUUAUAGAUGGAUCCGCGCUGCAUUAGCUAGUUGGUAAGGUAACGGCUUACCAAGGCAACGAUGCAUAGCCGACCUGAGAGGGUGAGAGGCAACAGUGGAUGUGAGACACGGUCCAGACUCCGACGGGAGGCAGCAGUAGGGAGUCAUGCGCAAUGGGCGAAAGCCUGACGGAACAACGCCGCGUGAGUGAUUAAGGUCUUCGGAUCGUAAAACUCUGUUAUUAGGGAAGAACAUAUGUGUAAGUAACUGUGCACAUCUUGACGGUACCUAAUCAGAAAGCCACGGCUAACUACGUG